GCAACACCAACCCGGAGCCCACAUAUAAAACCUGCACCUUUACCGCUUGAACGCCCCCAUUCACCCUCGUGCUCGGUUUUCUUUUUCCUUUUGCUCUGCUUCGAAAACAACUGCAAGCCAGAGCAACCCGUAGAACAACAAAGAGAAACGCUUAAGGGAACGCUCACGGUACACAAAGCAUUUUCCAAAAGAAAAAGAAAAGAAGGAAAAGGAGAACCAAAGAUCCCACCUUUUACUCUCUUUAAUGCCUUCGACUCUCUGAAACAAACCCCUCCCCCCUCGCUCUCUUUCUCUCUCUCUCUCUCGCUCCGUCG
Molecule: long non-coding RNA, 314 nt
Filed under: Phoenix dactylifera (date palm)
Lineage: Eukaryota; Viridiplantae; Streptophyta; Magnoliopsida; Arecales; Arecaceae
Description: long non-coding RNA (PDAC_LNC006061)
Source: RNAcentral